This 375-nucleotide unclassified non-coding RNA is filed under the name uncultured Rubrobacterales bacterium. RNAcentral's name for it is "contains 16S-23S intergenic spacer region". The record is from RNAcentral. Lineage: Bacteria; Bacillati; Actinomycetota; Rubrobacteria; Rubrobacterales.
UCCGGUUUGUCACCGGCAGUCUGGCGUGAGUCCCCAACCUAAUGCUGGCAACACGCCACGGGGGUUGCGCUCGUUGCGGGACUUAACCCAACAUUUCACGACACGAGCUGACGACAGCCAUGCAGCAUCUGUGGCGCACCCUCGAAGGUCACACGUUUCCGUGCGCUUGCAGCGCCAUGUCAAGCCCAGGUAAGGUUCUUCGCGUUGCAUCGAAUUAAAGAACAUGCUCCGCUGCUUGUGCGGGCCCCCGUCAAUUCCUUUGAGUUUUAGCCUUGCGGCCGUACUCCCCAGGCGGAACACUUAUCGCGUUGGCUGCGGCACAGAGGGAGUCGACACCCCCCACACCUAGUGACCAUCGUUUACGGCGUGGACUAC